AACCUUACCUGGUCUUGACAUAGUAAGAACUUUCCAGAGAUGGAUUUGGUGCCUUUCGGGAACUUUACAUACAGGUGCUGCAUGGCUGUCGUCAGCUCGUGUCGUGAGAUUGUUGGGUUUAAGUCCCGCAACGAGCGCAACCCUUUUUCCUUAUUUGCCAGUGGGUUAAGCCGGGAACUUUAAGGAUACUGCCAGUGACAAACUGGAGGAAGGCGGGGACGACGUCAAGUCAUCAUGGCCCUUACGACCAGGGCUACACACGUGCUACAAUGGUCGGUACAAAGGGUUGCUACCUAGCGAUAGGAUGCUAAUCUCAAAAAGCCGAUCGUAGUCCGGAUUGGAGUCUGCAACUCGACUCCAUGAAGUCGGAAUCGCUAGUAAUCGCGGAUCAGAAUGCCGCGGUGAAUACGUUCCCGGGCCUUGUACACACCGCCCGUCACACCAUGGGAAUUUGUUGCACCAGAAGUAGGUAGUCUAACCGCAAGGAGGACGCUUACCACGGUGUGGCCGAUGACUGGGGUGAAGUCGUAACAAGGUAAGCGUAGAUGA
RNAcentral lists this ribosomal RNA (549 nucleotides) under uncultured bacterium. RNAcentral describes it as "bacterial SSU rRNA". It matches the Rfam family "Bacterial small subunit ribosomal RNA", at positions 967 to 1509 of the family's 1533-position model. The record is from RNAcentral.